AGGCGCGCGCGGGAGAAACUGGGAGUGUGCGCUCCCGGCGCGGAGUUAAGGCUAGGCCAGAGUUCGGACCCUAGAGCCUAGAGGUUGCCACUGGAGGAAAUGACCCGUCACCGUCUACUAAGAAGAAAAUGAUGGGCGCCCUGGAGAGAGAUGAAUUUUAACCGUAGCAAAUAACAUUUAUAAAACAGUCUUCAUUUUCCGUAAGGCAUUUAAGACAUCCACUCUGGACAAGAAGAAAUGGGUCUGGACUUAUUAAGAAACUGAGCAAAGUAUGUGAAACAACUGUUUUCAAGAAUAAGCAGUUAGGGACCUUUGUACCUGAGAGAAAAGAAACAAACAAGAUGGGCCUUGUAUCACCCUGGCCACCUGCUGGGAGGUAGUUUCCAGUUCAGAAGUACAAGGAGAACUCAGAGCCUAGGGUCUUGGGUAAAGACAGGGCUGACUGAGUGGAGAAGGCAGGGAUUGAAUUUGGGAAUUUGAAGAGAGCAAGUUGGUUGGGAUUUAAGAGGCAGAGUUCAUGGAGAAAGCUUCAGAAAUCUGCAUAGGGGCACCCUUGCAUCUUUAGCUGAAUACAAAUCAGUGAAUAUUUCAUGUGAAACUCCUCAAGGCCAGGAAAGAACAAUUAUUGGGGAGCAGUAAGCCAAACAAUUCUCAGAGCUCACACAGGACUUGGGAAUCAUUUGAAUUCUCUGGAGCAGAAGUGGAGAGACUUCGAAUUCAUGGAAUGUGCUAUAGAGACCCCCAACGAGUCAUGCCUUAGUAGUGAGGUAAACUUAGCUCCAGACUGGCCUCUAAAGGAAAACCAUUGUAGCUCCUUCAACAGCUUAAAGACAAGCUCUGGUAGAAGCAAACUGCUCAGAAUUAGCAUUGAACAAAACGAAUAAAACUCUUGGCCCCACUGAGCGAGUUUAUAUUCAAGAAGUGGAAUAAAGACAACAAACAGAAGAAAUAAGUACAACGUUUACAGUAUGGAGGGAAAAUAUGCAGGGAGAAGCCCAAUGAUGCUAGUGCCUUCUGCCUAAGAAAAUAAGUGCCCUUGUUGGACAGCUCAAGAACAAAGCCUCCGUAAGUGUUUCAGGUGUGGCACAUGCCUAAAACAGAGAUUCUUGAAUCAGUUAUUCUUUUAAUAACCCCAGUGAAAAACAAACCUACCUUUCAUUUAGCAUUAAUGUCCCUGGAUUAAUCCACUGUCCACUAUAGAUCUGUGUAUUGAAAUACCAGGUAUUGUAAAUUUUUCUAGGCUGAACUAAACAUGUGUAGAGUAGAAUGUCAUUUGUUUCUAGGUCAUUCACCCAUGCUGCCUGGUGCCAAUGUACAUUUAGUUCUAUAUGUUUAUGUUUGUAUCUGAGUACCCUGCUCUGUUCCAUUGUCCCUGUUGUCCUUGCCUCACUGUUUUUAUUGCUUAGCUCUGCAAUGUGUGUGUGUG
This is a non-coding RNA of Sus scrofa (pig), 1426 nucleotides long. NCBI's taxonomy places the organism in Eukaryota, Metazoa, Chordata, Mammalia, Artiodactyla, Suidae. The record is from RefSeq and is a predicted model, not a curated record.